This 253-nucleotide ribosomal RNA is filed under the name uncultured bacterium. Its description in RNAcentral is "partial 16S ribosomal RNA". It matches the Rfam family "Bacterial small subunit ribosomal RNA", at positions 524 to 776 of the family's 1533-position model. The record is from RNAcentral.
UACGUAGGGGGCAAGCGUUGUCCGGAAUCAUUGGGCGUAAAGAGCGUGUAGGCGGUCCGGUCAGUCGGUUGUGAAAGUCAAGGGCUCAACCCUUGAAUGCCGGCCGAUACUGCCGGGCUAGAGUCCGGAAGAGGCGAGUGGAAUUCCCGGUGUAGCGGUGAAAUGCGCAGAUAUCGGGAGGAACACCAAUUGCGAAGGCAGCUCGCUGGGACGUGACUGACGCUGAGACGCGAAAGCGUGGGGAGCAAACAGG